GGGUCGAUGAAGAACGCAGCUAAUUGCGCGUCAACUUGUGAACUGCAGGACACAUGAACAUCGACAUUUCGAACGCACAUUGCGGUCCUCGGAUACUCGUUCCCGGACCACUCCUGGCUGAGGGUCGUAUCUAUUUCAAAGACUGCUCGGUUUUC
Molecule: ribosomal RNA, 155 nt
Filed under: Diabrotica barberi (northern corn rootworm)
Lineage: Eukaryota; Metazoa; Arthropoda; Insecta; Coleoptera; Chrysomelidae
Also listed under: 14 other names
Description: partial 5.8S ribosomal RNA
Rfam family: 5.8S ribosomal RNA (bases 4-127)
About the family: 5.8S ribosomal RNA (5.8S rRNA) is a component of the large subunit of the eukaryotic ribosome.
Source: RNAcentral